UGUAUUCUUAACAAUUAGCGCUUUCGUUUGUAGUUAGAUAAGGAGCAGAAAAUAAUUUCUUAAGUCGGACAUGAAUGCUUGUUUCUCAUUAUAUGAAUCACUCGGGAAUUAGUAUAAGUCAGUAGAAGUUACCAAGGUAACUGCAGUGUGGUAGAUUUACAGGACGUAGCCUAUGGCGGUCAGCUGUGUGACACGUUUGAGCUUUUAAGGAUCCAUCUGGACGCUGAAUAUGGUCCGGCCUUACGCCGAGUCACCCCGGCAGAAGCACAGGCAUGUUCUAGGCUCCCAUGGCUGCCAGGAGGUUUACGGAGGGAUGCGUGAUGCGGAUGUGUACAGCCCUCGCUUCAGGGAGCACAGGGAGUCGCCCUGUAGGAGGGAGCACCCAGGAUACCUGCCUUUCCACGCUACUCGGAGGCCGGCACACAUGGAUAGGCAGCGAGCCCCCGCUGAGCAUGCUCGCUGGGGGCCGCGGUCACACAGCCCCGCCCACAGAUACCCUGUCUCACCGGGAUACCAACGUGAGCACAGAAGGCAGUCCCACCCAGAGCUGUGGUCAGGUCGCCGCUCCCCCCAGCGCCCCCCUGUUCCUGCCCGCGUACCCUAUCGGGGACAUGGCCCUGCAUUGUCACCUCCCCAUUUUUACGACGAGGGCAGCCAUGGGCGAUUUUGGACACCGUCCCCACCACCGCACAGGCAGCACGGUGUCGAGCAGGAGCGGGGCUGGGCUGCCGUCCUGAGGCCAGGGAGGGAACGCGGACCCAGAGGGGGGGGCGUGCAUGGAGAGCACUGGAAUGGAGAGGGGGGUUUCGGUCACCCCCGCUCUGGGGAGCGAAGAUUGUCCCCUUGGCGGAAAUCCCAGGAGUUUCAUGGAAGAAGCUCAUUUCCUGAGAGGUGGUCUGCUGAGCGAGACGCUAUGACACGUGGCAGGAACGAAAUGGCGAGGGAUGGGGGCAGGCGGAGCACUGAGUGGGGACACAAGCCCAGCCCCCGUCGUCCCCCGGCAUCCCCGAAAUGGAGGCCAGCCCCUUCCUCUACAACCACUUCUGUGGCCGCCUCCUCUCCCCCCUCCUCGUCCUUACCCAGAUCCCGUCAUGCCCCCCAAGACAGGAUCUCCAGACCCUCAUUGAAGAGAAGAAACCCGGAUGAAGGAUCGGAGUUCGAGCACAUGGCCAAGCGAGCGUGCAGGGAGGUGUCACAGCGACCCGUGUCCUCCCGUGGAUUCGGUGGUCGGCCCCUCUCUCUGAAGGACAAGAGCCGGCUGGUGAAAGGAAGGAUGCUCAGGGCAACCUCAGAGCUGAGCACGGCACCAUGCCAUACGAAAGAGGAGGACAAGGCGCCAAAGCAGAGAAACCCCCCUGAGAAGGACAGGGCUAAGAAGAAGCCGCUGCCUGACAGGAAGGAAGCAUCUCAGGAGGUGGCUAAGGUCUGCACGCUGAAGAAACAAACCCUGAAGAAGGUCCCCCGCAAAUCACCAGUCCCAGAAGGUUCUGAUGGGCGGCCGAGGAGCACUGAGACGCUCACCAUCAAGGUGGACGCGCGCCACACCCUGAGCACCUACAGGUACGGUAUCUCCGUUAGAACCAGCGGGCAGGCCGCCAGCCCAUGCUUCACAGAUAAGUUGAAGCUUUUUCAUCUGUUCUUUAUCACGUAUCCCAAAACGAAGAGGGUACCCGCCCGGCAAAAUGCUCUAUUGAAAUGUCAGCCCCCCCAUAAAUCUGCAAGAGUCUGCCUGUCCUGCAUUCUGACGGCCUUUAAGCGUUUUGCCACGUUCCUGCUGAGGUCAUGUUCUCUGGGGAGUUACUUGAAUAUUGUCAGCGUUAUUGAGAAUCCCAUGAAGCCUUUCCCAGCGUUUCUUAGCCCGUGCCUGUAUGUUGUCCUGUCCACUACUACCUUGCACGUCACUGGAGUGGCUGAAGUACUCAGCCUUUCUCGCGUAACAGCGAGGGAAGUGCAGCAUUCCCAGAAAGUGUAGUGUGGUCCCAAGGAAGCCCUAAUAUGGGAGCCAGAAGAACAGGCCUCUAAGGUGGAUGAAGUUUAAAUCAAAGCUGAGGAGACUGUGAGGAGAAGUGGGAAAUCCUGGAUUUUACACAAACUGAAUGGUCUCCCAAACGUUGUGCUCGGUGCCCACCAGCUUGGCCCUUCAUAAGAGCACCUGGCUGGUUCUGAGGAUGGAGCUCUUACCGUUUGUCUCUGCAAAGCUGCACGGCUCGUGGACCCAGCUGUCUCCCCUGGACUUCAGUGGCGUCCAUGUCGGAAGAUUCAGCAAUCAACCCUCCGUGUAAUGGGCCGAAGAUGGGAUGCUGUGGAAUGGUCCAGUUCAGAAAAUUGUUGGAGUGCCGCAUAGCUUUGGUUCAAGACUCAACUCUUUCCUGCUACGUUCCUGUGGGUCUGAAAGGGUCUGAUGAUACAGCAUGAUUGGGUGUCUGCUGUUGACCUCUCUCCACUUACUACACAAAGGCAAAGGGGCUUUAGAGUAUCUGCACCAACAUUAAAGGCACUGCACCUGAGCAGCAUUGGUCCCUUAGCUACUUACCUACCUGAUUUAAUGGGAGAUCAACUUGUUUCCAACUCACCAAUACAAGGAGUUCUGCAAGAUGUCUAUGCCAAUUGGUCUUUGAGCAGUAGCAAUCGCUUGGCUUACAUCAGCCACUAUCAGCAAAGCGGGCCGGUGGGAGCCUGCUGGAUGUUGCCUAGGCAGUGAGUGUAAUUUGAAGUACGCUGCUAUAACUGGAACCAGGACAGCAGCUUCUGUUCCCCUACUGUGCCCCACAGAUGUAGCAUAAGGAGCCUUGGACCAGAGAAUGAGGACACUUCUCUGUGAGCCUGCUCACUGGAAUCUUUUGGAAUGUGGAAGAGAUCUGUAAGAAAACCUAUUGAUUAAGGUGCAUGGAAACACACCUGGUCAAAUAAUUAGAGCACAAUGCUGCUUAUCUUUAGGAUUUCAAAGGGAGCACGGCCACUGCAUAGCACUGAAUCCGGAUGGCUGGAUGUUCCUACCUUGCCCUUCCUUCACACUGAAAGAUUAAUAAAUGUAAAGAGGCGGAGUUCCUGUGUAGGAACUGCGAUGAAUCAUCGCAUCUUCUCAAUGAAUGUGGCAAAGGCGGUCUGACCGGUACGCAGCCAAUCUGCCCAUCUACUUGCUAAUGCAGGAAGUAGAGUAUAAAAUGGCCGUUUGCCAUCUUGAGCCUAGACAGGAUGCAUUAUGGGAUAUCUUGAGUGGCAAAGAGGAGUGUUAAGAUUUCAUAGGCAAGCUGGCUGCUUGCGUGUGUUUCUGCGUUUUGUACACAAGGCUACAUCCCACCAGCAAAUGGCAUCUUAAAGUCUCUUUCUACUCCCCGUCCCCAUCAGACAGGCAAAUUUCCCGGGACCUUGUUACUGUCUCGCAACGAGGCAUGGGGACCAUAACUGCUGUACGAACUAACGCCUCAUGGAGGGCACAGGAUUCCGACACAGGGAACUACUCCAGCCCU
Molecule: RNA transcript, 3470 nt
Organism: Paramormyrops kingsleyae
Lineage: Eukaryota; Metazoa; Chordata; Actinopteri; Osteoglossiformes; Mormyridae
Source: RefSeq, a predicted model, not a curated record